GAAUUGUGAUCUCAGACAAAAGGCUUUCUUUUGUAUAUAUCGGGGGAUCGUGAAGAUUUUAUCGGUGAGAAUUUGCUCUCGGAAGGGCAAUGAUGAAUAUUGAAUAAUCGGACAUAGUACGAUAAGGUUGUAUGUCCAAAGGGAAACAGCCCAGAACAAGUGUUUAAGGUUCCAAAAUUAUUGUUAAGUGAAAUUAAGGAAGUUUUUUUCAAAUACAACCAGGAAAUAGGCUUAGAAGCGGCCAUUUUUUGAAGACCUCGUAACAGAGCACUGGUUCAACGGCCUGACCUCUUUUUAACGUUUUUAACGGUAUAAAAUAGGUUAAAGCCGGCAAGUUAAAAGCACCGAAAAUUUAACGGAUCUAAACAAUAUACCGACACCUUGUCCAUAAGUAUUAAUGAAAAAGGAAAUCCUUUAAUAUUGUAUUUAUGGGGUAGCGGAACGUUGGGCAAAUCUUUGCAUGUAAUCUUUUUAAGAUUAUAUAAAGCAGUGUAGUCUAGAUUAUAUAAUGAAGUCCAAUUAAAUAAUUGAGUCUAGAUUAUAUAAUGAAGUGUAAAUUAUAUAAGAACUCUAGAUUAUAAACAAAUGGUGGUCUUUAUAAUAUUUAGAACUCUAAGUCUUAUAAAGAACUAUAAGUUAUAUAAUUUAGAUUAUAUCUGUGUAGAUAACCCAAGUGAGAAUGCUGGCAUGAGUAACGAAAAAGGGAUUUGAUCCCUCGCCUAAAGCUUAUGGUAUGUACAUAAAGUAACGGCCUCUAAGUUUAUUGACCUGCCCUAAAGGACUAAAUGAUGAGAAAAUCUUUUUAUAUAUCCAACAACCCAGCUGAGUAGGUGGUGUUCUGGAAAAAGAUAUAUAAUUAUUAACCGUACCUAAAGACUACCACAAGUAAGCUAGUAGAGAAUACGAAGGCGUUNAGCUAACAGAUUCAU
RNAcentral lists this ribosomal RNA (929 nucleotides) under Dothiora ribesia. RNAcentral describes it as "partial large subunit ribosomal RNA". The stretch from base 1 to 441 matches the Rfam family "Bacterial large subunit ribosomal RNA", at positions 912 to 1235 of the family's 2925-position model. Lineage: Eukaryota; Fungi; Ascomycota; Dothideomycetes; Dothideales; Dothioraceae. The record is from RNAcentral.